UUGCCUACAAUGAAAAGGAGAAGAGAACGCGUUAAGUGGUAAGCAGAAGGAAAACUCCCACUGAAUUAUGCCCAACUACACAGUCCAGCUUUACUGAUUUAUCUACUAAUUUAAGCUCCAGUCACCAUGGAUAGGUUUGUCAUUCUGAUACCACUGCCACAAUGAAAUGAGAUGUUCACCUCAAGAAAAAGCCCAUGGACAAGGCUGCUUGGCUAUUCCUCUCCAAUACAGGAUACACUGGUGAACACAGGCAAAUACAGUUCAUUUUCUAUAGCACUGGGGAAGAGAGGUGGUAUGCCCCAGAAAAA
Strigops habroptila (Kakapo) is the source of this 308-nucleotide long non-coding RNA. RefSeq lists it as uncharacterized. The transcript has 2 exons. The record is from RefSeq and is a predicted model, not a curated record. NCBI's taxonomy places the organism in Eukaryota, Metazoa, Chordata, Aves, Psittaciformes, Psittacidae.